CCAGAGGCGGCUGCCAGUCCUUGAAGUGGGGACAGUGGGGGCAGCGGAUCUUCGAACUGUAGCGGGUUGGGGUGAGAGUUGGAGAACUUCAAUGGCCCUACACCCAAUCGUGCUUACACUCAAACUGUGUAACUAAAAAACAUCUCUGGUUGCCAUGCAACUCUGUGUGGAUACUGUUCACAAGUGACAUCAUUGCUCCGUCCCUCCUUCAAGUCUAAGGGGGCCAAUGAGAUGCAAGUUGGGGAAGCAGAGUCCGACAAGAGUCCUAGCCAUGCUCCAGGUCAGCACGCCUCUCACCAACACUAUGACAUGCCGACAGCCGUCGCAUCUCACAGCUAUGCCCUCGGCCACAUGGGCCACAGAUGGUGACCCACACCAACACACUGGCACAAGCACAUCGUCAUACAUCCCAUAUCGAGAGCAGGGACCCCUUUUCUCUCAUGACUCUAUUCCUAGAGAUUAUUAGCCAGUUCCCAGAGGAUGCACACUCCUAUGUGAGGCCUUGAUCCUGCGGGCUGACGACAACAAAGGAGGAAACCAGCCAGCACUGGGGGAUCUGACGCUGGGUGCAGCCCUCCCAGGAAAUGGCACAAUAACUGGAGGCUUGGGAGACACACCUUAGCCCACAGUGGGUGGGGCCCUCCGCUGCCUGCCCUCUUGCCGCCCUGGCCCCAGAAGAAGCAGCUGGCUUUUCAAACCAAAAUCUUUCUCAAGUUUCUCCUCCGGAUUCAACUCACUGUAUAGCUGCCUGAAGUCCUUUCUAGAUCAAGGCGGGUAAAAUGCACACAUCCAUGAAUCUCUCUACAUGUGUACAAAUAUAUUUUGUGUUUUCUGUCCAGCAAAACCCUCAAGAGCAAAUUUCCAACUUCCCCAAACACCCCAGGGAAAAUCUUUUCUCCCCAACCCAUGGACUAAGGUGAUGACUGCCUCCUUGCCUUGGAUUCAUGCCAAACUAUCUUCCUGAUAAGGCCUCAGAGAGCUAAACCCUGAGCACCCCACCCUCCCCUGCCCCCAGCCCCCAGGGCCCCAGGGCCUCCUGGGCAUCUGGCUCUGAGUAUCCCGACCUCCCUUCACAUGGAUGCCUUAGUGUGAGGUAGGAAGUCCCGGUUUCCUUGGGCCACAAUAAUCAUCAGAAACUUCACUGAUAGGCUUGGGCUUCUCUUCCUGUGCCCCUUUACCCUCUGUCUAUUGCUUCAAGAGAGAAGGAGGCCAUCGUCCUGCCCUUCUCACACACUUCCUUGUCCCCACUCCCUACCUGGGGGCCUUUUCUUUCUUUCUUUUUGUUUUUAAGAUUUUAUU
Molecule: long non-coding RNA, 1299 nt
Organism: Canis lupus familiaris (dog)
Lineage: Eukaryota; Metazoa; Chordata; Mammalia; Carnivora; Canidae
Exons: 6
Source: RefSeq, a predicted model, not a curated record